UAUUUUUAAAACAAAUGCCAUUCAGAAAAAGUUUAAGGCAUCAACGUAGUUUCCAACGUUGCAGACAACUGGAGGAAAAGCUCCUCCUUCUGCGUACCACUCCCAUAUCCAGAAAGGCUCGUUUAACAUCUGGUUGAAAAUCUCUCUAACAUGUGUGAGAAGCUGACUGACCUUGUGACCCCGGCCACAGCUUCCCCUGGGAGGGCAGCCUCUCUUCCCUUUGGGGGCUGAAUGUAAAACGAUGAGACUCUAGGUUUGAAAAUGAAAGCCUCAUCAUGAUGCCAUUUAGCUGGUCCAGGUGGGAGCCCGGGUAAUCGAGCCCACCAGCCUAAUUCCUGGCCUUUUCCUUCCUGACCACCUCAUGUAAGCUUCUUGUUGCCAUUUCCCUCGUCUCACUUUUCUCCAAGAGUUCAGCCUCAAUGGAGCUGUUGAAGGACUGUGGUUGAGAUGCAGGUACAGCCGAUCACGCAGGACUCCAGACGCAGAAGGUGCUGAGGCAAGCAAGUGAAAAGUAACCCCUACCCAAUGGUCAACGUCACAGCAAAGCAGAAGCUUGAUUCAUAAGUGAAGAAUAAAUGCAAAGCCAUGAAACUAAAAGUGAGAAAGUCAAUUUGAUGCAAAAGGAGAAAAAUGAUAAAGAAUUCAAGUGACUGAAUGAAGUGGAAAUUGACUUAUUAGGUAAUGGAGAUACAGCUGGAAGCUCAGCAGUCCCACCUGGGGGAAAUAAGGAAGAAGUUAACCUAUGCUAAGUGACCCUCCUGUGCCCUGUAAAAAUAACAUUGAAGGGGAAGGGAAGAAAGCUUUGAUGAGAAAAAUAAGGAGGGUUAACUAUGCGCAGAAGAGAAGUUUCCAGGUUGGGAACAAGAAACGGAGAUGAUUAAAUCAAUCCAGAAUACUGUGUGUAAAAUAUGACCAAAGUGAUGAGAAGACUGUCGUCUUAAACUGUAUCCUCAGCAAGGGAAAUCCCAAGAUGGAGACAGCAGGGAUAUGUGCAAAUGAUAGAAAAUGGCUCGUUUCAGGAGUUCAGGAAGGUGUCGUGAAAUGAAAAAUAAAACAAUGGCAACAACAACAAAACCCCUAACCUAUGGGAGCCGCCACAGAAGAUUUAAGAAUGGACUAAGAGGCAUCAGAUUGCUCUUUUCAAGCCACUCCAGGUAUCUAUGUAUGCCAACCACCUUUUUCAUGAAUCAGGAAAAGGUACCAGAUCUAAAAACAAAACAAACAAGACCGAAAAAAGCCCCUAAAGAUUCAAAGACAAGGGCCCAGCUGAAUCAAACCUGGAAUAGAAAGAGAGAGCAGGAAUGUCAUACUGGAUAAGGAAAGGAGGUGGUUACUGGAACAUGGACGGGCCUGACAGUGGAAGCAACCCUGGACAGGGAGGCAGGAUCCCUGAAUCCUCCUCUCACUGCUGCUCCCUCCCAGCUGUCUGGCCUUGGUGAGGGG
RNAcentral lists this long non-coding RNA (1443 nucleotides) under Equus asinus (donkey). Its description in RNAcentral is "lncRNA (ENSEASG00005029292.1)". Lineage: Eukaryota; Metazoa; Chordata; Mammalia; Perissodactyla; Equidae. The record is from RNAcentral.